This 497-nucleotide ribosomal RNA is filed under the name uncultured bacterium. RNAcentral describes it as "partial 16S ribosomal RNA". It matches the Rfam family "Bacterial small subunit ribosomal RNA", at positions 28 to 507 of the family's 1533-position model. The record is from RNAcentral.
GAUCAACGCUGGCGGCGUGCCUAAUACAUGCAAGUCGAGCGAACAGACGAGGAGCUUGCUCCUCUGACGUUAGCGGCGGACGGGUGAGUAACACGUGGAUAACCUACCUAUAAGACUGGGAUAACUUCGGGAAACCGGAGCUAAUACCGGAUAAUAUAUUGACCCGCAUGGUUCAAUAGUGAAAGACGGUUUUGCUGUCACUUAUAGAUGGAUCCGCGCCGCAUUAGCUAGUUGGUAAGGUAACGGCUUACCACGGCAACGAUGCGUAGCCGACCUGGGAGGGUGAUCGGCCACACUAGAACUGAGACACGGUCCAGACGCCUACGGGAGGCAGCAGUAGGGAAUCUUCCGCAAUGGGCGAAAGCUUGACGGAGCAACGCCGCGUGAGUGAUGAAGGUCUUCGGAGCGUAAAACUCUGUUAUUAGGGAAGAACAAAUGUGUAAGUAACUAGGCACGUCUUGACGGUACCUAAUCAGAAAUCCACGGCUAACUACGUG